GCAGUCGUGGCCGAGUCGAUGGACUAGAAAUCCAUUGGGGUCUCCCCACACAGGUUCGAAUCCUGUCGACUGCG
Molecule: transfer RNA, 74 nt
Filed under: Ixodes scapularis (black-legged tick)
Lineage: Eukaryota; Metazoa; Arthropoda; Arachnida; Ixodida; Ixodidae
Rfam family: tRNA
About the family: Transfer RNA (tRNA) molecules are approximately 80 nucleotides in length.
Source: Rfam by way of RNAcentral